GUCAUCUUCUUUGUGAUCUCGUCCUUUCCAAUUUUUCUGAACUGAAGUGACUCUUGCCCUGACAGAUAAUUACUUGUAUUCGCGUUUUGAAUAUUGUGACCAAAUUGUUCUGACGUGCAGUCUCAGACGUCGUCGACACAUGCAAUUUGUGACAAGGUGGCAAUUCUCACACCUCCUCCUUUAGGUUGUGUGUGUGUUGUGCCCUAUAUGUGCAUGAGUGUGUCCAGGACGGACCACUCUUAUUUCCAUUUUCCCAUCGAAGACUGGUCCCCAGGAUUGAUGAUGAUGGAUGCCUGAUUGUGUGUCGAUGUUCUGAUUCUGACAGUGACUUGAAGUUACACGACAGACAUUGAUUGCUUUAAAUACAGUCCACUUCUACUUGUCCGACCUCGAGUUAUCA
This 400-nucleotide long non-coding RNA is filed under the name Daphnia pulicaria. Its description in RNAcentral is "uncharacterized LOC124314973". Lineage: Eukaryota; Metazoa; Arthropoda; Branchiopoda; Diplostraca; Daphniidae. The record is from RNAcentral.